AAGCAUAUAGCUUAGUGGAUUAAAGCAUUGAUCUUCUAAAUCAAAAAUCGUUGGUUCGAUUCCAAUUAUGCUUG
Molecule: transfer RNA, 74 nt
Filed under: Jenufa minuta
Lineage: Eukaryota; Viridiplantae; Chlorophyta; Chlorophyceae
Description: tRNA-Arg
Rfam family: tRNA
About the family: Transfer RNA (tRNA) molecules are approximately 80 nucleotides in length.
Source: RNAcentral